Molecule: long non-coding RNA, 483 nt
Organism: Pecten maximus
Lineage: Eukaryota; Metazoa; Mollusca; Bivalvia; Pectinida; Pectinidae
Exons: 2
Source: RefSeq, a predicted model, not a curated record
CAACCUAUCUACAUCUGCAUGUUGAAAGUUCUGUAAAUAAGUGACUUAUACAAACAGAAGAUGGACUCAGUGAAGUGAUCCAGAUGAAGAUUUCCAAGGGUCAACAAUAAAUGCACAAAUGCAAAAAGAUACAGUGAGCUCUGAAGUGGACGGAAUUGACAGGAAGAGUUAAAAGAUAUUGUAACUGUACUGAAAAAAAGAACUGGUAUUAUCAACAUAUGAUGAAUAUUCUACCGAAUGUCAACAAAAACUAUAAGCCAUUAUUGCAGGGACAACAGAGAUUAGCAAUGACAAGAAAGACAUUCAUGAACUAGAAAUUAAAUAACCUUUGAUGUAUUGUUAUAUAAGUGUGCAUUGAUUUAGUUUAAAAGAAUAUGGAAUAAAAUAUAGAUGUUUGUAUAUAAAGUUUGUAUCUAUAAGGUGUUUUAUUGUAACAGCAUGCAAUACUGCUCUGAAUGAUAGAAAUACAGACUUUUACAUUAA